RNAcentral lists this ribosomal RNA (406 nucleotides) under uncultured bacterium. RNAcentral's name for it is "partial 16S ribosomal RNA". It matches the Rfam family "Bacterial small subunit ribosomal RNA", at positions 30 to 526 of the family's 1533-position model. The record is from RNAcentral.
AUUGAACGCUGGCGGCCGGCCUAACACAUGCAAGUCGAACGAAUAGCGGACGGGUGAGUAAUGUCUGGGAAACUGCCUGAAGGAGGGUGAUAACUACUGGAAACGGUCUCUACUACCGCCUACCAUCCGAUGUCCCCAGAUGGGAUUAGCUAGUUGGUGGUGUAACGGCUCACCAAAGCGACAAUCCCUAGCUGGUCUGAGAGGAUGACGACGGCAGCGUGAACUGAGUCACGGUCCAGACUCCUACGAGAGGGAGCAGGGGGGAAUGUGGCACAGUGGGCGAAAGCCUGAUGCAGCGAUGCCGCGUGGAGGUAGAGGGCAUUCGGGUUGUAAAGUACGUAUGGUGUUGAGGCGUUAGCCUCAUAAGAAGCACCGGCUGACUCCGUGCCAGCAGCCGCGGUAAUUC